Molecule: long non-coding RNA, 643 nt
Organism: Xenia sp. Carnegie-2017
Lineage: Eukaryota; Metazoa; Cnidaria; Anthozoa; Malacalcyonacea; Xeniidae
Exons: 2
Source: RefSeq, a predicted model, not a curated record
CAUGACGCACGCGAGUUUCGAUUGCUGUUUUCACUAUGAUAACGGCCGUAGAUAUCUAUGAUAUUGCAGGAAAAAUAAUAUUCUACUUUCAUUCAAAGUAUAGAUUUUUUGAAAACGACCAUUUGCUUUGUUUGUAAUGGUUUUGAAAAUGAUUCAAUUGUCGUAGGAGUGAACGGCAGAUAACAAAAUAUGUCAGGCAAAACAUGUGUCUGGUUAUGUGAACAGACAGGAUUUAGAAAGUGAAGUGGGAGAUAGUACUGCAAUGAUCUUUGUGGGUAAAACUGAAUUUCAGGAUGUACUGUUCUGUUUACAACAUAGGUACGAUAAUGCUCACAAAACUCUUUUGUGUACAAAAUUUCAGCAGCUAAAUACACCCUUUCAAUUGAUGAGUUUAAAACAUGGAUGGAUUUAAUGGUUGAAAAUGUUGCUCAUGGAGCUAUAUGAAAGUGAAAAUAUUGAAUAAAGCUGGGCAUCCAUUCGCCACACGUAUCAACGAAUGCUAGGUAUUUGACAAAGGUUGCACGGUAGGAAGCCCCUCUGGUCUUGAGGGUAAAAAUUAGCAUUGCCUGUAUGAUUGUUAGUUACUGCAAUCUGCAACGGAAACAUCAUUUACAAUACAUGGAAUAUAUAGUCACAGUUAAAA